UUCUAAUUGAACGUUAACGGUCAUGUGUCCUGUUUUGAUUAGACGUUGACAAUAACAAUAUAUUUUUCAUUGUUCAGUCAAAACGUGACACAUGGGAGUCAACGUUC
This is a non-coding RNA of Glycine soja, 107 nucleotides long. Lineage: Eukaryota; Viridiplantae; Streptophyta; Magnoliopsida; Fabales; Fabaceae. The record is from Rfam.